CAGGAGACUCACACAUGCCUCUGCCUCCCCUCUUCUCCAACUUCUCCUUCAAGUUUUCAUCAUGGUCUUGUGUGGCUAACCUUUUAUAAUUGAUAGAAGGAAAUGGAAGCCUUGGAAUCAAAAACUAGAUUGAGAAGAGAAGAAGAAGGUGUGGUUGCAAAGAUUGGAGAAGAAGAGAAGGGGAGGGAUGCUAUGGGGGCAUGGACGAACCUUUAAGGACAUUUUCGUUUUCAUUUUCUCUUCCCAUGCCAAAACGCAGUGUUUUAAUUUUUGCCAGGUCACGUUUCAUGCGCAAGGUCGCGCAGAACGCCUGCAUCCAUCAUUUUUCAAUUUUUAAUCUUUUGAACCAACAAGUAGCAGCUCACUAGGAGACACGUAGAAUGAGCAAGCAAGGCGACUCUGGUUGACCCAACUCUUAUGAUGAUAAAAGAAACAUUGUAGGUUUUGGUAGUUGGAUAAUGCAUUAUGUCAAUUUUAGUAAUUUAGAGUUCAAAAUAUAAAUAAUGGUAGCUUCAAAGUGCAAUAUAUAUACAUAUACAUAUAUUAAUUAUAAUUAACUCAUAUAAAACUUAACUAGGCUCGUAUAAAUCUACAUAAAUUCAAGUCACUUUGUAUUUCAAGUGGGAUGUACUUGUGGGAAGAUAUUCUCAAUAUUUAAUGAGAAUAUCUAAAGCAUUUAAUAAAAUAAGAGAAAAUCAUGCCCUUCAUUUUUUGAAUGGGUAAAAAUCA
This is a long non-coding RNA of Carya illinoinensis, 729 nucleotides long. RefSeq lists it as uncharacterized. The transcript has 2 exons. Lineage: Eukaryota; Viridiplantae; Streptophyta; Magnoliopsida; Fagales; Juglandaceae. The record is from RefSeq and is a predicted model, not a curated record.